UUUAUUUUAAAAAAAAAAAACACUGCGUGCACUACAAUUCUAAGAUGGAGAGAGAAUUAAGGUGUUUGUCACUGGUAUUUAGGAGAUGAUUUUCACUUUCAACUGAUGUCCAGCUUUGUGGGUUGCUUAAAAUGUGAUGCCACUGUCAUCUCCAGAAAGUCAAUGUAUGUAGAAAUGCUUUAACACCCAACAUCCACAUGUUCAUGAGCACAUUCACUUGAAUCUCAGCACCCAUCUGUACACAAGAUGUUAAGGGAGCACUGAAGGGAGUUGGUAAAGGUUCCUUGUAGCUGAAGAAUGCACAGGAGCUGGCCAAGUGAAGAAGGGUAUGACACUUGUAUUAGUAAGAGAAAGCAGAUGAGCAGAAAGAGAGUUGUCCAGAACCAUGGAGCUCCAGAGAAGACCACCCCCACAAGCACACACUGCUGAUUGUCAGUUGUGCCCUUUAUGCCUGAUUGCAUCCAGUACCACCAAGCCCAGCCAG
This 484-nucleotide long non-coding RNA is filed under the name Homo sapiens (human). Its description in RNAcentral is "HSALNT0119883". Lineage: Eukaryota; Metazoa; Chordata; Mammalia; Primates; Hominidae. The record is from RNAcentral.